Molecule: unclassified non-coding RNA, 416 nt
Filed under: soil metagenome
Description: partial contains 5.8S ribosomal RNA, internal transcribed spacer 2, and large subunit ribosomal RNA
Rfam family: 5.8S ribosomal RNA (bases 1-120)
Source: RNAcentral
GAUGAAGAACGCAGCGAAAUGCGAUAAGUAAUGUGAAUUGCAGAAUUCAGUGAAUCAUCGAAUCUUUGAACGCACCUUGCACUCCUUGGUAUUCCGAGGAGUACGCCUGUUCGAGUGUUAUGAAGCUCUCAAAACGCAAUUGGCUUAAAACCUAAUUGUUGUUUUGGAUUUGAACUUUGCCGUGUUAUAACGGCUGGUUUUAAAAGUAUUAGCUGGUACUAGAACGAAUUGGUUCUACUCAACGUGAUAAUUAUCUGAUCGUUGAGGACAUUCCUUUCACGAGGAAUGGCCAUAGUAAAUUCAAUGGACUGCUUCUAAUCUGGCUUUAAUUCUUUAUUGGAUUAACCACUUUUCAAAUCUGACCUCGAAUCAGGUGGGACUACCCGCUGAACUUAAGCAUAUCAAUAAGCGGAGGA